CUGGUUACCUGAGCCAGGUCUGGGGCCAGGCAGCAUGCAUUCUAGUCCUGCCUGGGACACUCACUGGCCUCAAGAUCUUGGGCAAAACAGCUGACUGCUUUGCACCUCAGUUUCCUCAUCUGUAAGGUCCAGGACUACCCACUUCCCUUGGAAUGGUGUUGCCAUCACUGUUCUGGCACCGGAGAAAGGAUUCUACAUCGUUAGGAGAAAAGAAAAAGGAGAAUUUGGGCUUGCACUGAGAGGAUUACCUUUGGUGGUCUGGAAGUGGUGGGGUUGCAGCAUUGAAGGCACCAUCUUGGAAGCAGAGACUAGACCCUCACCAAGCAAUUAACAUGCUGGUGCAUUGAUCUUGGACUUUCCAGCCUCCAGAACUACUUUUAAGGCAGAAUCUCAAUUCAUCUCUUCUAUGAAACUUUCAUGAUUCAAAGGGAAGUCCCUGCAUGGACACUGCCAGCUUCAUUGCACUUCUGCCUCUAUGCUUUUUCCUGAACCUUCUCCACCUCUGGAACGUACUUCAGGCUGCACAGGGAGCAUGGCUGGGAGGCCUCAGGAAACUGAC
RNAcentral lists this long non-coding RNA (559 nucleotides) under Homo sapiens (human). RNAcentral's name for it is "HSALNT0332707". Lineage: Eukaryota; Metazoa; Chordata; Mammalia; Primates; Hominidae. The record is from RNAcentral.